Molecule: long non-coding RNA, 816 nt
Filed under: Pomacea canaliculata
Lineage: Eukaryota; Metazoa; Mollusca; Gastropoda; Architaenioglossa; Ampullariidae
Description: uncharacterized LOC112568066, transcript variant X1
Source: RNAcentral
GCCCAUGGUCCAUGUCUUACCUGAUUAUUCUACCACCUGUACAGUUCAAGACGAGGUGCGAGCUUGGUAGCAGCAGACUGUCGUCCGUCUGUGUGUUUUAUAUCGCACAGGACAAGCUAACCGUCUGAGUAUAGCAGUCUUAGGACAGGAAGAAGAAUUUAUUUCUUUGGAGUCAAAUUAUGUGCAGACUCUCAAAACCUGUCCAGUAGCUCUAGUUUCAAUGAAAAAAAGAGUUGACUUGAAGAAGUUACCAGUUUAUUUCGUGUGAGGUUUUCAAAGAACCAAAUCAUAGGAAAUGGUGAUGUUAAUUCUGUCUUCUUCUUUGCUCUUGAUUCUACUCGGAACAUGUUUUGGCGAGGGGCAAAAAUAUAGCUGUGAAGUCCGAUUUGAUGGAAAGUGUAUAAAUAAAGUGACUUGCCAAAUCCCCGACACCUACCGCCAGGAGGGAAGACCUUUUACCAUUUUCUAUGUCUCAAAUGGACAAACAGAAAAGGCUGUGGUGCUGCACAAUGUUGGGAGGUACAUUUGUGACGCGGCAGGGGACCACAUCUGUGACCAGAACGCGACAUCCAUCACCAUCGACUCUAAGACAUCGUGUGUAGAGAACAGAGAAUACAUCCUUGCUGCUGAUGGAGAAAGCGGGAAUUCCUUGCUCAACUAUAAAAAGUCAGCAGAAGACUCCUGACCCGGGCGAAGAAGAAGCUGUUGUAUGCCUUGAAGAUACAACAGUCGGUAAUGAGACUAACGGCCAUGUCAAAAAGCGAGAAGCCACUAAGAAAUGUAGAAAGAGGUCGCUACCACAGCAGGAAGGCGAGU